RNAcentral lists this ribosomal RNA (301 nucleotides) under uncultured bacterium. Its description in RNAcentral is "partial 16S ribosomal RNA". It matches the Rfam family "Bacterial small subunit ribosomal RNA", at positions 509 to 808 of the family's 1533-position model. The record is from RNAcentral.
CAGUAGCCGCGGGAAUACGUAGGGUGCAAGCGUUAUCCGGAAUUAUUGGGCGUAAAGAGCUCGUAGGCGGUUUGUCACGUCUGCUGUGAAAACGCGAGGCUCAACCUCGCGCCUGCAGUGGGUACGGGCAGACUAGGGUGCGGUAGGGGAGAUUGGAAUUCCUGGUGUAGCGGUGGAAUGCGCAGAUAUCAGGAGGAACACCGAUGGCAAAGGCAGAUCUCUGGGCCGUAACUGACGCUGAGGAGCGAAAGGGUGGGGAGCAAACAGGCUUAGAGACCCCCGUAGUCCCUGUCUCUUAACA